GGGAAACGGCAAGAGGGGCCAGCCCCAGGCCCCACAACAAAGUGGGGCA
Homo sapiens (human) is the source of this 49-nucleotide regulatory RNA element. Lineage: Eukaryota; Metazoa; Chordata; Mammalia; Primates; Hominidae. The record is from Rfam.